CCUUCCAGAGUUUGAUCAUGGCUCAGGACGAACGCUGGCGGCGUGCCUAAUACAUGCAAGUCGAGCGGACAGAUGGGAGCUUGCUCCCUGAUGUUAGCGGCGGACGGGUGAGUAACACGUGGGUAACCUGCCUGUAAGACUGGGAUAACUCCGGGAAACCGGGGCUAAUACCGGAUGCUUGUUUGAACCGCAUGGUUCAAAUAUAAAAGGUGGCUUCGGCUACCACUUACAGAUGGACCCGCGGCGCAUUAGCUAGUUGGUGAGGUAACGGCUCACCAAGGCAACGAUGCGUAGCCGACCUGAGAGGGUGAUCGGGCCACACUGGGACUGAGACACGGCCCAGACUCCUACGGGAGGCAGCAGUAGGGAAUCUUCCGCAAUGGACGAAAGUCUGACGGAGCAACGCCGCGUGAGUGAUGAAGGUUUUCGGAUCGUAAAGCUCUGUUGUUAGGGAAGAACAAGUACCGUUCGAAUAGGGCGGUGCCUUGACGGUACCUAACCAGAAAGCCACGGCUAACUACGUGCCAGCAGCCGCGGUAAUACGUAGGUGGCAAGCGUUGUCCGGAAUUAUUGGGCGUAAAGGGCUCGCAGGCGGUUUCUUAAGUCUGAUGUGAAAGCCCCCGGCUCAACCGGGGAGGGUCAUUGGAAACUGGGGAACUUGAGUGCAGAAGAGGAGAGUGGAAUUCCACGUGUAGCGGUGAAAUGCGUAGAGAUGUGGAGGAACACCAGUGGCGAAGGCGACUCUCUGGUCUGUAACUGACGCUGAGGAGCGAAAGCGUGGGGAGCGAACAGGAUUAGAUACCCUGGUAGUCCACGCCGUAAACGAUGAGUGCUAAGUGUUAGGGGGUUUCCGCCCCUUAGUGCUGCAGCUAACGCAUUAAGCACUCCGCCUGGGGAGUACGGUCGCAAGACUGAAACUCAAAG
Molecule: ribosomal RNA, 924 nt
Filed under: uncultured bacterium
Lineage: Bacteria
Description: bacterial SSU rRNA
Rfam family: Bacterial small subunit ribosomal RNA
Source: RNAcentral